UUCAGUGAAUCAUCGAAUCUUUGAACGCACCUUGCGCCCCUUGGUAUUCCGAGGGGCAUGCCUGUUUGAGUGUCAUUAAAUUCUCAAACUCACUCUGGUUUUUUUUCCUUGUGAUAUGUGUAUAGUGGGGGGCUGUGGUGCUCGUGACGGGUCCUC
Molecule: ribosomal RNA, 156 nt
Filed under: Pleurotus eryngii
Lineage: Eukaryota; Fungi; Basidiomycota; Agaricomycetes; Agaricales; Pleurotaceae
Description: 5.8S ribosomal RNA
Rfam family: 5.8S ribosomal RNA (bases 1-75)
Source: RNAcentral